This 443-nucleotide ribosomal RNA is filed under the name uncultured bacterium. Its description in RNAcentral is "partial 16S ribosomal RNA". It matches the Rfam family "Bacterial small subunit ribosomal RNA", at positions 338 to 795 of the family's 1533-position model. The record is from RNAcentral.
CCUACGGGAGGCAGCAGUGGGGAAUAUUGGGCAAUGGAGGAAACUCUGACCCAGCAACGCCUCGUGAAUGAUGAAGGUCUUCGGAUUGUAAAGUUCUUUUCUAAGGGAAGAAGAAAGUGACGGUACCUUAGGAAUAAGCCUCGGCUAACUACGUGCCAGCAGCCGCGGUAAUACGUAGGAGGCAAGCGUUAUCCGGAAUGACUGGGCGUAAAGGGUGCGUAGGUGGUUUGACAAGUUGGUAGCGUAACUCCGGGGCUCAACCUCGGCACUACUACCAAAACUGUCGGACUUGAGUACAGUUGAGGUAGGCGGAAUUCGUGGUGUAGCGGUGAAAUGCUUAGAUAUCACGAAGAACCCCGAUUGCGAAGGCAGCUUACUAAACUGUGACUGACAUUGAUGCUCGAAAGUGUGGGUAUCAAACAGGAUUAGAUACCCGUGUAGUC